GACAUACCUAUAACUGUUGCUUCGGCGG
This 28-nucleotide ribosomal RNA is filed under the name Colletotrichum sp. SC-S-4. RNAcentral describes it as "partial 18S ribosomal RNA". The record is from RNAcentral. Lineage: Eukaryota; Fungi; Ascomycota; Sordariomycetes; Glomerellales; Glomerellaceae.